GAGUCUGAUCAUGGCUCAGAUUGAACGCUGGCGGCAGGCCUAACACAUGCAAGUCGAACGGUAACAGGAAACAGCUUGCUGUUUCGCUGACGAGUGGCGGACGGGUGAGUAAUGUCUGGGAAACUGCCUGAUGGAGGGGGAUAACUACUGGAAACGGUAGCUAAUACCGCAUAACGUCGCAAGACCAAAGAGGGGGACCUUCGGGCCUCUUGCCAUCAGAUGUGCCCAGAUGGGAUUAGCUAGUAGGUGGGGUAACGGCUCACCUAGGCGACGAUCCCUAGCUGGUCUGAGAGGAUGACCAGCCACACUGGAACUGAGACACGGUCCAGACUCCUACGGGAGGCAGCAGUGGGGAAUAUUGCACAAUGGGCGCAAGCCUGAUGCAGCCAUGCCGCGUGUAUGAAGAAGGCCUUCGGGUUGUAAAGUACUUUCAGCGGGGAGGAAGGGAGUAAAGUUAAUACCUUUGCUCAUUGACGUUACCCGCAGAAGAAGCACCGGCUAACUCCGUGCCAGCAGCCGCGGUAAUACGGAGGGUGCAAGCGUUAAUCGGAAUUACUGGGCGUAAAGCGCACGCAGGCGGUUUGUUAAGUCAGAUGUGAAAUCCCCGGGCUCAACCUGGGAACUGCAUCUGAUACUGGCAAGCUUGAGUCUCGUAGAGGGGGGUAGAAUUCCAGGUGUAGCGGUGAAAUGCGUAGAGAUCUGGAGGAAUACCGGUGGCGAAGGCGGCCCCCUGGACGAAGACUGACGCUCAGGUGCGAAAGCGUGGGGAGCAAACAGGAUUAGAUACCCUGGUAGUCCACGCCGUAAACGAUGUCGACUUGGAGGUUGUGCCCUUGAGGCGUGGCUUCCGGAGCUAACGCGUUAAGUCGACCGCCUGGGGAGUACGGCCGCAAGGUUAAAACUCAAAUGAAUUGACGGGGGCCCGCACAAGCGGUGGAGCAUGUGGUUUAAUUCGAUGCAACGCGAAGAACCUUACCUGGUCUUGACAUCCACGGAAGUUUUCAGAGAUGAGAAUGUGCCUUCGGGAACCGUGAGACAGGUGCUGCAUGGCUGUCGUCAGCUCGUGUUGUGAAAUGUUGGGUUAAGUCCCGCAACGAGCGCAACCCUUAUCCUUUGUUGCCAGCGGUCCGGCCGGGAACUCAAAGGAGACUGCCAGUGAUAAACUGGAGGAAGGUGGGGAUGACGUCAAGUCAUCGUGGCCCUUACGACCAGGGCUACACACGUGCUACAAUGGCGCAUACAAAGAGAAGCGACCUCGCGAGAGCAAGCGGACCUCAUAAAGUGCGUCGUAGUCCGGAUUGGAGUCUGCAACUCGACUCCAUGAAGUCGGAAUCGCUAGUAAUCGUGGAUCAGAAUGCCACGGUGAAUACGUUCCCGGGCCUUGUACACACCGCCCGUCACACCAUGGGAGUGGGUUGCAAAAGAAGUAGGUAGCUUAACCUUCGGGAGGGCGCUUACCACUUUGUGAUUCAUGACUGGGGUGAAGUCGGAACAAGGUAACCGUAGGGGAACCUGCGGUUG
Molecule: ribosomal RNA, 1521 nt
Filed under: metagenome
Description: bacterial SSU rRNA
Rfam family: Bacterial small subunit ribosomal RNA
Source: RNAcentral